GACGAACGCUGGCGGCGUGCCUAAUACAUGCAAGUCGAGCGGAACUGGGGGAGCUUGCUCCUUCCAGUUUAGCGGCGGACGGGUGAGUAACACGUGGGCAACCUGCCCUGCAGAUCGGGAUAACUCCGGGAAACCGGUGCUAAUACCGAAUAGUUUGGCGCCUCUCCUGAGGCGCUACGGAAAGACGGUUUCGGCUGUCACUGCAGGAUGGGCCCGCGGCGCAUUAGCUAGUUGGGGGGGUAACGGCCCACCAAGGCGACGAUGCGUAGCCGACAAGAGAGGGUGACCGGCCACACUGGGACUGAGACACGGCCCAGACUCCUACGGGAGGCAGCAGUAGGGAAUCUUCCGCAAUGGACGCAAGUCUGACGGAGCAACGCCGCGUGAGUGACGAAGGUUUUCGGAUCGUAAAACUCUGUUGUGAGGGAAGAACACGUACCAACUAACUAUUGGUACCUUGACGGUACCUCGCCAGAAAGCCACGGCUAACUACGUGCCAGCCGCCGCAGUAA
This 512-nucleotide ribosomal RNA is filed under the name uncultured bacterium. RNAcentral's name for it is "partial 16S ribosomal RNA". It matches the Rfam family "Bacterial small subunit ribosomal RNA", at positions 28 to 523 of the family's 1533-position model. The record is from RNAcentral.